GAUGAACGCUGGCGGCGUGCCUAAUACAUGCAAGUCGAGCGAACAGACGAGGAGCUUGCUCCUCUGACGUUAGCGGCGGACGGGUGAGUAACACGUGGAUAACCUACCUAUAAGACUGGGAUAACUUCGGGAAACCGGAGCUAAUACCGGAUAAUAUAUUGAACCGCAUGGUUCAAUAGUGAAAGACGGUUUUGCUGUCACUUAUAGAUGGAUCCGCGCCGCAUUAGCUAGUUGGUAAGGUAACGGCUUACCAAGGCAACGAUGCGUAGCCGACCUGAGAGGGUGAUAGGACACACUGGAACUGAGACACGGUCCAGACUCCUACGGGAGGCAGCAGUAGGGAAUCUUCCGCAAUGGGCGAAAGCCUGACGGAGCAAAGCAGCGUGAGUGAUGAAGGUCUUCGGAUCGUAAAACUCUGUUAUUAGGGAAGAACAAAUGUGUAAGUAACUAUGCACGUCUUGACGGUACCUAAUCAGAAAGCCACGGCUAACUACGUG
This 497-nucleotide ribosomal RNA is filed under the name uncultured bacterium. Its description in RNAcentral is "partial 16S ribosomal RNA". It matches the Rfam family "Bacterial small subunit ribosomal RNA", at positions 28 to 507 of the family's 1533-position model. The record is from RNAcentral.